Molecule: small nuclear RNA, 106 nt
Organism: Monodelphis domestica (gray short-tailed opossum)
Lineage: Eukaryota; Metazoa; Chordata; Mammalia; Didelphimorphia; Didelphidae
Source: Ensembl
GUGCUCAAUCCAGCAGCACGUACAUAAAACUGGAAUCGUAUAGAGAAGAUUAGAACGCUCCCUGCGCAAGUACAACAUGCACGUCUUUAACAUGUUUCUGGUUUUG